UGACCCAUCAGUGAUACUGCAAUAAAGACAAAAACAAAGAGGGUAACUCUAAAACACACAAGCCCCCUGCACAGAUGGACUGCAGUUUAUUUAUUUAUUUACUAUAUUUAUACCCCGCUCUUCUCAACCCUGAAGGGGACUCAGAGCGGCUUACAGAUUAUGGCAAAAUUCAAUGCCGCAUUAUACAACAAAUAAUAAAUAUAACAUAUCAAAUUAUAAAACAAUUAAAACAUAUACAUGCAAUAAAACAUUAAAACAUAGUUUUAAAGGAGCAGAUGAAGAACCACUAUUGCCAACAUUCUCACAUUGGCCAUUUCACAGGGCUCAUGCCAUCCUGUUGCCACAUAUUCAAUGGAAGCAAGCACCUUUUUGUAUCCUACAAAGUGCACACUUAUAUAAUAUUGUCAUACAGGAGUCACUCAAGCACUACAAAUAUCAAUAUUAGGACAACUGUUUCACCAUCUCAUUGCGAAAGACGAUCUGCAACACUCAGGAACCCAUGAAAGGUUGAGCUUCUUAGUGUAAUAAGGAUCAUAGAUCCCUUAUUAUGCCUCAAAAAUCAUUAAGGUCAGAUAUUUACUAUGACAGGAAUCUAUCUCGAGCAUCUGUCUCCUGCAGAUUGACAAAAGGUCUGUCAGCACAAGUUAUAUUAAACUGAAAGAAGUACAGUAUGUACCAAAGUUAUUCACUUAUCUGAUUGACAGACAGACAGAACAUUCCCUUCAAGCAAUAGGGUCGUAGUGCAACCUCAAAACAUAGAUUGGUCAUCCAAGUACAAGACAUAGUAAUGAAAUAUUUUCUAAAUAUAAUCUACCUAAUCAUGCAAGAAAGAUUACUUGGCAUGCAUAUCUACACCACUCAUUAUCUUGUCUGAAGUAGUCCUUGAUAAUCCAAAGGAUUAUCCAUAAAACUGCCACCAGUGUGCAGAAAGGAAUGAGGAAGUUGGCUUCACAGUGGAUGAUGAAGCAGCUGCUCCCCCUGUGGCCGGAAUCGAGCAUACCCUCAGGAAGCUGGAAGCUGGAGAAGGUUAAAUUGCCUCUGUCUCUGUCUCUAUCUCUAUGUUCAUAUGGCAUUGAAUGUUUGCCUUGUAUGUGUACAAUGUGAUCCACCCUGAGACCCCUUCGGGGUGAGAAGGGCGGAAUAUAAAUACUGUAAAUAAAUAAAGAAAUAAAUAUUCCAUCCCUAAAGGUGGCCUAAAAAUGAUUUUCAAUAAACAGAAGCAGGGAAAACUGCACAAUGAAUUGGCUAACUUUCAACCGAUCUACCUUUCAUCCUAAAUUGAAUUGUUCAGUUGCUCCAAUUUUUUCCAUUGCCAACAAGAGGAUCAAUUCAUAAUCUAUUCAACUAUGCAGAUUCUUUAGUGAGACAAAAGAAAUCAUGACUACAUUUCACAAUUAUAGAGACAUUCUCAAAGUAAGGUAAAGGUAAAGGUUUUCUCCUGGCAUUAAGUCUAGUCGUGUCCGACUCUGGGGAUUGGUGCUCAUCUCCAUUUCUAAGCUGAAGAGCCAGCACUGUCUGUAGACACCUCUGAAGUCAUGUGGCAGGCAUGACUGCAUGGAGCACUGUUAUCUUCCCAUUGGAGCAGUACCUAUUGAUGUACUCACAUUUGCUUGUUUUUGAACUGCUAGGUUGGCAAAAGCUGGGGCGGAUUUGAACCGCCAACCUUUCGGUCAGUAAGUUCAGCAGCUCAGUGAUUUUACCUGCUGCGCCACGAUUUAGACCACUUCUUUAAAAUAGCCCAAGAGAUGCAAAAAUCAUGGAAGAAUGAAUUACUACCGGGAUGCUUUGUAUCUAUACAUAGUUUUACUGUUAUGUAUGGGUAAGUGUGUACGUUUUGUAUGUUUCACAUGUUUUGAUAUGGUCAAAAUUGACUAAUCAAUAAAGAGUUGUUGUUGUUGAAUUACUACCAUAUCAGUGUAGUGCAUUUUAGGCAAAAAUAAUGGGAAUUUGGAAUAUGCUGAGCAGUCCAUAGAUCACAUUUCCCUCAAGUCUUAAAGGGUAUUAUUUACACAGUGGAAGCACUGUUGAAUGCUGCAUUAUUCCUGUUAAAAAAGAAGUCACAGGCUUGUAUCCAAUGCAAACAUAAAUCCCUACUGUUGUGUCAAGGAUAAUUGUUCUCCAUCCUCUUCAGAGUGCCAGUCUUGUAUGAACUAUGAGUUUCUCUACAAUUCAUAUUGUAACCGAUUGUGUUUGGUUUCAUUGAACCAACACUCAAAUGUGGUGUGUUGAGGACACUGAAAAAACUGUAUAUUAUCAUGAAUUUUAGUCACCCAGAAGAGGAAAAAGUUGUCAAGGGUAAAGGAAAGUUGUAUUUUAGAAACUACUUGCACCAGGUAGCUAUGCAGUACUAUGAUGGUUCGGUAUCACUGCAAUGAAUGAUUAUGCUCACAAACUUAUCCCAAACCAUUCUGUUGUGUCAAAGAAUUGUAAUCCUAGUCAGUUAAGUGGAUUGUAACUAAUUUCUCAAGAAGUAGUACAAAGUACCCAAAAUGCCAUUUCCACAGACCACUGGGGUAAUUGUCCUACCAAUCCUUUAAAAUCUUUUAUCAAGAAUGUGACAGUACCAUAUCAUUACCAAAAGAAGCUGGAAGACAUUCUUUUGGCGUGUUCUGCUCUCAAAUGCCUUUUGUAACUACCUUCUCAUGGUAGAAAGAGGCCCUCUUUUUUCUUGCUUAGAGGAAUGGAAUAAAAUUCCCAUAUCUAAAUGCCUAAAGAGCCAUUCUGAAUAAAGCUCAGAAAGUUCUGAGAGGAGUGACAUUUUCAAGGAGAAAUUUUUAAUAGAAUUCAGCAUCACACAGCUCAAGUCUGAAGUCCUCAAUGAGAAGCAGGUAGAUAGUAUUAACUUAAACCUUUUCAAACUUUUAAGAUUUAACUCUGCAUCUCGCUUCCUUAAGCUUAAUAAUUCUUUACAGCCACAUU
Anolis carolinensis (green anole) is the source of this 2919-nucleotide long non-coding RNA. Lineage: Eukaryota; Metazoa; Chordata; Lepidosauria; Squamata; Anolidae. The record is from Ensembl.